UUGAAGAAUUUGAAGACCUCAACUUGCAGACUUAAGGAAUUUGAAGACUUCAACUUGCAGACUUGAAGAAUUUGAAGACCUCAACU
Non-coding RNA from Solanum tuberosum (potato), 86 nucleotides. Lineage: Eukaryota; Viridiplantae; Streptophyta; Magnoliopsida; Solanales; Solanaceae. The record is from Rfam.